Molecule: ribosomal RNA, 427 nt
Filed under: uncultured archaeon
Lineage: Archaea
Description: bacterial SSU rRNA
Rfam family: Archaeal small subunit ribosomal RNA
Source: RNAcentral
UACCAGCUCUCCGAGUGGUAGGGAUGAUUAUUGGGCUUAAAGCGUCCGUAGCCGGCUUAGCAAGUCUCCUGUUAAACUCAGCGACCUAAUCGUUGAAUCGCGGGAGAUACUACUAGGCUAGGAGGCGGGAGAGGUCGACGGUACUUCUGGGGUAGGGGUGAAAUCCUAUAAUCCCAGGAGGACCACCAGUGGCGAAGGCUGUCGACUAGAACGCGCUCGACGGUGAGGGACGAAAGCUGGGGUAGCGAACCGGAUUAGAUACCCGGGUAGUCCCAGCUGUAAACGAUGCGGGCUAGGUGUUGGGAUGGCUACGUGCCAUUUCAGUGCCGCAGGGAAGCCAUUAAGCCCGCCGCCUGGGGAUACGGCCGCAAGGCUGAAACUUAAGGAAUUGGGCGGGGAGCACCACAAGGCGUGAAGCUUGCGGUUC